RNAcentral lists this ribosomal RNA (1281 nucleotides) under Triticum aestivum (bread wheat). RNAcentral describes it as "partial small subunit ribosomal RNA". The record is from RNAcentral. Lineage: Eukaryota; Viridiplantae; Streptophyta; Magnoliopsida; Poales; Poaceae.
AUGGAGCCCAUCCCUCUCCUGACGCCGUACAAGAUGGGCCAGCUCAACCUCGCCCACCGGAUCGUCCUGGCCCCGCUCACCCGCCAGCGCUCCUACGGCAACGUGCCGCAGCCGCACGCCGCCUUGUACUACUCCCAGCGCGCCUCCGCCGGCGGGUUGCUCAUCACCGAGGCCACCGGGGUCUCCGACACGGCCCAGGGGUACCGCGAUACACCGGGCGUCUGGACGGCGGAGCACGUCGAGGCAUGGAAGUCAAUUGUCGAUGCAGUGCACGCCAAGGGCGCGCUCAUCUUCUGCCAGAUCUGGCACGUCGGCCGCGUGUCCACCUAUGAGUACCAGCCCGGCGGUGCCGCGCCGCUGUCGUGCACGGACAAGGGGGUGGGCCCGCAAAUGAGCUAUGACGGGAGGCUGGAGGAGUUCGCGCCGCCGAGGAGGCUCAAGGUGGAGGAGAUACCGGCCAUCGUCGACGACUUCAGGAAGGCGGCCAGGAACGCCAUCGACGCUGGUUUUGACGGUGUGGAGAUCCACGGGGCGAAUGGGUACCUAAUUGAGCAGUUCCUCAAGGACAGUGCGAAUGACCGCACCGACGAGUAUGGUGGCAGCAUUGAGAACCGGUGUCGCUUUGCUCUCGAGGUGGAGGAGAUACCGGCCAUCGUCGACGACUUCAGGAAGGCGGCCAGGAACGCCAUCGACGCUGGUUUUGACGGUGUGGAGAUCCACGGGGCGAAUGGGUACCUAAUUGAGCAGUUCCUCAAGGACAGUGCGAAUGACCGCACCGACGAGUAUGGUGGCAGCAUCGAGAACCGGUGUCGCUUUGCUCUCGAGGUGGUGGAUGCCGUCGUGAAGGAGGUCGGUGGCCACCGUGUGGGCAUCCGCCUCUCCCCCUUCACCGACUACAUGGACUGCCACGACUCUGACCCGCACGCCCUCGCGCUCCACAUGUCCACCAAACUCAACAACUACAACAUCAUCUAUCUCCACAUGGUCGAGCCGAGGAUGGCCAUCGUUGAUGGACGAAGGGUGGUCCCGAAGCGCUUGCUGCCAUACAGGGAGGCGUUCAAGGGUACAUUUAUGGCCAAUGGCGGGUACGACCGCGAGGAAGGGGGCAAGGUGGUCGCUGAUGGGUACACUGAUUUGGUCUCCUUCGGGCGAUCGUUCUUGGCGAAUCCAGACCUGCCAAAGAGGUUUGAGAUCGGCGCAGAGCUGAACAAGUAUGAUAGGAUGACCUUCUACAUCUCUGACCCCGUCAUCGGCUACACUGACUACCCCUUCCUCGAUUAA